RNAcentral lists this ribosomal RNA (253 nucleotides) under uncultured bacterium. RNAcentral describes it as "partial 16S ribosomal RNA". It matches the Rfam family "Bacterial small subunit ribosomal RNA", at positions 524 to 776 of the family's 1533-position model. The record is from RNAcentral.
UACGUAGGGGGCAAGCGUUGUCCGGAAUUAUUGGGCGUAAAGAGCGCGUAGGCGGUCCGGUAAGUCGGUUGUGAAAGUCGGGGGCUCAACCCUCGGAUGCCGAUCGAUACUGUCGGGCUAGAGUCCGGAAGAGGCGAGUGGAAUUCCUGGUGUAGCGGUGAAAUGCGCAGAUAUCAGGAGGAACACCAAUGGCGAAGGCAGCUCGCUGGGACGGUACUGACGCUGAGGCGCGAAAGUGUGGGGAGCGAACAGG